UGUGGCUGGAUCACCUCCUUUAAGGGAGACCUACCCGCUCAAAUUCUGAAAGCACAGUGCAAAUAGGAAAUGAGUUGGUCAUCCCAAGGUCGUUCGAGGUAUGAGUGUGAGGCUUUCAAACUAUUAAAGGUUCGGAUAUGGGCUAUUAGCUCAGGUGGUUAGAGCGCACCCCUGAUAAGGGUGAGGUCCCUGGUUCGAGUCCAGGAUGGCCCACCUUAAGAAGGACGAAAGAGAGAAGAGAGAAGAGAGAGGUUAAACCUCUGUCCUCCAGCUUCAACUUUCAUUCUUUAGAGCGGGGGUUUAGCUCAGUUGGUAGAGCGCCUGCUUUGCAAGCAGGAUGUCAGCGGUUCGAGUCCGCUAACCUCCACUGGGAGUUAAUAGGGCAAGAAUUAGAGGAACAAUUCAGCAACUUAUCUAGGUUUGGCUAGGAAGUCUGCUGGAUUAGUCCAGCCAGAACCAUGAAAACUGCAUAGCGAAAGAAGAUUUCUGUCAGGUAGUAGAGAUUCAUUUGACCCAGGUUGAAUGAAUCGUCAACACAGACACCAAUGAAUUUUGUGGUCAAGCUACAAAGGGCUGAUGGUGGAUACCUAGGCACACAGA
This 600-nucleotide transfer RNA is filed under the name Oculatella subterranea 'VRUC192/Albertano 1992'. RNAcentral's name for it is "partial miscellaneous RNA". The stretch from base 295 to 367 matches the Rfam family "tRNA". Lineage: Bacteria; Bacillati; Cyanobacteriota; Cyanophyceae; Oculatellales; Oculatellaceae. The record is from RNAcentral.